CAGCAGCCGCGGUAAUACGGAGGGUGCAAGCGUUAAUCGGAAUUACUGGGCGUAAAGCGCACGCAGGCGGUCUGACAAGUCAGAUGUGAAAUCCCCGGGCUUAACCUGGGAACUGCAUUUGAAACUGUCAGGCUGGAGUCUUGUAGAGGGGGGUAGAAUUCCAGGUGUAGCGGUGAAAUGCGUAGAGAUCUGGAGGAAUACCGGUGGCGAAGGCGGCCCCCUGGACAAAGACUGACGCUCAGGUGCGAAAGCGUGGGGAGCAAACAGGAUUAGAGACCCGUGUAGUCCCUGUCUCUUAUAC
This 301-nucleotide ribosomal RNA is filed under the name uncultured bacterium. Its description in RNAcentral is "partial 16S ribosomal RNA". It matches the Rfam family "Bacterial small subunit ribosomal RNA", at positions 509 to 807 of the family's 1533-position model. The record is from RNAcentral.